CACAUCAGGAUGCUGAUUAAACAGCAUGAUUACUGCACAGGUGUGCCCUGUGAUGGUCCCAAAAACAGGCCACUCUAAAGUCUGCAGUUUGAUCACACAACACAAUGCCAUAGACGUUGCACGUUUUCAGUUUCACUUGCAGGUCAGUUCCCCGCCAGAAAGGGCCAUCUAUGUGUUCAUCAAGAAUGUUCUCCAAUUUUGGAUUCUUUGUUCACCAUGGAGGCCUGCAAGAAAAACGCAGAGUUCUCCACAAAUUCAAAGUACAAUGGGAUUCAGAUUUGACCAAGCAGCAGCCUCUGGGGCCAAAAAACGAAGCCAUCUCUCAAGUGCUAAAGCUGCAGUUCCGCAAAUGGCCACUAGAGGCUGGCUCCAAGAGCGAAUCAUAGACCUCCAUGUUAAAAUGCUCAAAUUAACAGCAGAAAUAAAUAUGUUUACAGCCUGGUACAAAAAGUAGUUUAGGUCUCUAUAGCUAAUUUCAACAUUCAUGACAACUGUACAGGGGGUGGAUUUUUAUAACUCACCGGUUUGCAUUUUAUUAAGACUUUAAGUUAAGCAUUAUUGAGGGCCUUCCCUUCCUUCACCAAAGCUCCACCCUUCAUCCAAAUAUGGUCAGUUCUGGCUCAAAAAACAAAAUGGCAACAGCUGAAAUGCCGAACUGGAGGCUGCAAAACGUUGGUCCACAAACUAAUGGGUGACAUCAUGAUAGCUACAUCCCUUUUUUUUUGUGUGUA
Molecule: long non-coding RNA, 731 nt
Organism: Epinephelus lanceolatus (giant grouper)
Lineage: Eukaryota; Metazoa; Chordata; Actinopteri; Perciformes; Serranidae
Source: RefSeq, a predicted model, not a curated record